RNAcentral lists this transfer RNA (73 nucleotides) under Dreissena polymorpha. It matches the Rfam family "tRNA". Rfam says of the family: Transfer RNA (tRNA) molecules are approximately 80 nucleotides in length. Their secondary structure includes four short double-helical elements and three loops (D, anti-codon, and T loops). Lineage: Eukaryota; Metazoa; Mollusca; Bivalvia; Myida; Dreissenidae. The record is from Rfam by way of RNAcentral.
GACCGUUUAGCUCAGUUGGCAGAGCGUCGUGCUAAUAACGCGAAUGUCGUGGGUUCGAUCUCUUCAAUGGCCA